UGGGUUGCUUUCAUCAGGUUCUCAAAGGGGAUUGUGACCUCAUAUAAUGACAACGAUCUCUGGAACACUGGGGACCAGCAGCUCCUUGAGUCACCUAAGUUCAACAGGGCUUCCCCAGCCCAUGGUGCCAGGCCUGUCUGGGGUUUGGGAGACAGAGUGCCCAGGAGCUGGGAUUUUCUUCCCCAUCUGUCGAAAGAACAGCGCACUAUCGUGUUGGAUAACCCUCAGAGCAACACUGCCAGACCACGGGUGCUGCGGUUGCCUUCAUUCUGGAGACCAGAGACCAAGGCUUGGAGGGCUGUGUGAACUUGCCCAGGCCCAAGUGGCAGGACCUCCUCGCCAUCCACUGUGGCAGGGAUGGGGACAACCAGUCCUGGCCAUGGACACCCCUACCCAGCAUCAGCCAAGCAUGGAGGCAAGAGCAGACCCCAGCGCGGGAGUGGAAGAUUCCAGAGCCUCCCUGCCUCAUCCAGUCUCCGGGGCUUCCCAGACCCUCACGAGGAACCUGAGAAGACACGCAGCGAGUGUUGGAUUCAACUGCGGCUUCAGUGAAAGAGUGGUCGAAUGAGUGAACGCUGGUCCACAGUGGAACGCCGUCUGUCUUCCCUGGCCCUGGAACACCUUCCCCCGGCCCCUCCAAAUCCCUCCUUGGCUUCCGGCCCUCCUGGGCAGGAAGGGCCAGUGGCUGGGCGAUGUGUAGCUCGCUGGGACCGGGGAGGGGGCCCGUGAUGAGUCUGCACAUCUG
This is a long non-coding RNA of Bubalus bubalis (water buffalo), 745 nucleotides long. RefSeq lists it as uncharacterized. The transcript is spliced from 3 exons. Lineage: Eukaryota; Metazoa; Chordata; Mammalia; Artiodactyla; Bovidae. The record is from RefSeq and is a predicted model, not a curated record.